Molecule: long non-coding RNA, 3927 nt
Organism: Macaca mulatta (Rhesus monkey)
Lineage: Eukaryota; Metazoa; Chordata; Mammalia; Primates; Cercopithecidae
Source: Ensembl
AUGAACCCAGGGGAUGGAGGUUGCAGUGAGCCGAGAUCGCGCCAUUGCACUCCAGCCUGGGCGACAGAGCAAGACUCCGUCUCAAAAAAAAAAAAAAAAGAAAAACCAGCUUACGCUUCACUGGGGUCCCUGACAGCUGGACUCCGAGCCUGCAGCCCUCACAGUCCGGCCACAGAUCCCGGAAGGGGCAGCUUACAAGGCAUGGAGUCAGCUCCGCCCGUGGUCCUCACCGUAUCUGGCCAACAGGCGAACCCACAGGGCUGUCACCUCUGCUACCCGAUGGCCCGACAGGGAGCUCUCGGCCGUGUCCCGGCCAGACCCAGCGCCUCCAGACGCCAGCAAACAGCCACAUGCAGCCCGGCUAUCAGCCACACGCGUCUGACGCUCUCAGACCAGCCUGCGGAGCCUGGGGAGAGGCUCCGGGAUCCUUGCAGCAGGAAGCUGGCCAGAAAGGCGGCCCAACAGAAAGUCACGGCUGCCAGACACCCGAAGGCACCUCGAAAGAGAAAGUCAACGGGGCAGGGCCCAGGCAUGUUGAGGGGCCGCAAAGCCCAGCUGCACAGUGGGGCCCCCGUUCGCGAGGCCUGCAGGGGCCUCUGCCCUCCACCGCCUUCCCUCGGGGCUCCGAUGGGUUUGCCAUUUCCUAGCACGUGGAUGGGAAAGGGCCCGUGGGCUGGGGGUGACCGGAUGGUGAGGGGUCAGGACAUCGCCUGUGGGGGUGGCCUUCCGGCUCAACUCAGCCGAGACGCCAGCGCAGGGCCAGGGCUGCUGCCGGCCGGACACCCGCGCUGUGAGGCGCUCCUCGCCCCGGGGCUUCAUCUGCCCUUGCCGGAGCCUUCCCGGCUCGCUGAUUUGUGGCAGACUUAAUCCCGCACUAAUUAGAUUUCUGCACUGGUGAUGAAAGGGCUCCGUGCGUGCCAGCCCGCUGGCCGGCCCAGCCCACUGCUUGUUUUGCACAGAAUUUUAAUUGUUUCCAAAUUAAUCCUCGGAAUCGAGUGAGCUCAGCGCAGAUAAGCCAGCCGCAGGGAGGGCAGAGUGCCGCGUUCCCAUCUUCCCAGCCAGCGCGGCCGCCGCUCCCGUGGGGUGGCACGGGGAGGCCGCCUUCGGACAUGACGCGAUCGUCCAACAAUGUCCCGCGCCUCUUCCCGCUCAGCGGCUCCGAGAGCCCCGCCAGGCGCCCGGCUCUCGGGGAGUUUUCCUUCUGUUUGCUCUUGGCUCAGCUUCCCUCUUAAUCCUAUUUUCGCCAGUUUCUAUCCAAUUUAAGACAGCUCCUGUAAGUCAAAAUUAAUUACCCGGUGUGCUUCCAGCCCUGUGGUCUCGCUGCUCACCGUUCCUGCAGCUUGGGGCUGGGCUCCAAAAGGAGGAGGGGAACACGCCCCCAAUGUGAGGGGGGCUGUGGGGCCCCACCCCCGAACCAGACUGAAGGGGAGAGGUCCCCACUCCACAUUUCGAAGGACCAGCCUCCUCCAUCAGGAAGUCCUCCCUGACUGCCUCAAUCUUCCUGAGCUCCCCUGACAGCUAAUGUUGGGCACGCUCUUCCCACCACACCUGUGCCUGCCCAUGCCCACAUCCACACGUGUGUCUACCCAGCUCACCAAGGGCCUGGGCUCCUUGCAAAAUGUGUUCAGCCACAUAGAAAUGAGUAAAGGCCAGGCACAGCGGCUCACGCCGGUAAUCCCAGCACUUUGGGAAGCCAAGGCAGGGUUGUUUGAGCCCAGAAGUUUGAGACCAACCUGGGCAACAUAGCAAGACCCCAUCACUACAAGGAAUACAAACAUCAGCCGGGUGUGGUGGUGUGCACCUGGAGCCGUGACCACCCGGGUGGCUGGGGCAGGAGGAUGGCUGAGCCCAGGGAGGUCGGGGCUACAGGGAGCGGUGAUGACACCACCACACUCUAGCUGGGGGAGUGACAAAGGGAGACCCUGUCUUGAAAAAGAAAUAGAAUAAAUAAGGAUACCAAAAGCAACAAAAGGCAGCACAAGAUAUAGAGAGAUACUUGAAGUUACAGACUUUUUGUGCCUCACAGGCCACCAUCAAGAAAGCAAAAGGACAACCCACCCAGUGGGGGGAAUAUUUGCCCGUCAUUUAUCUGAUAAGGGUAUAUUUAAAAUCCAUAAUACAUAAAGAGCCCUUGCAACUCAACACUAAAGCCCGGGCGUGGUGGCUCACGCCCGUCAUCCCAGCACUUUGGGAGGCCGAGGUGGGUGGAUCACCUGAGGUCAGGAGUUCAAGACCAGCCUGACCAACAUGGGGAAACCCCGCCUGUACUAAAAGUAUAAAACUUAGCCGGGUGUGAUGGCAGGUGCCUGUAAUCCCAGCUACUCGGGAGGCUGAGGCAGGAGAAUCGCCUAAGCCCAGGAGGUAGAGAUUACAGUGAGCCGAGAUGGUGCCAUUGCACCCCAGCCUGGGCAACAAGAGCAAAACUCCGUCUCAAAAAAGAAAAAAGGAAACAAACAAACAAACAAAAAACAGUAAAAACACAAGUCACCUGAUUUAAAAUAGCAAAGGAUAGAAACAGAUAUUUCUCCAAGAAGAUACACCAGGGGCCAACAAGCUCAUGAAAAGAUGCAAAGAUGCUCCGUGUCACCAGCCACCCGGGAAACCCGGACCGAAGCCACAGAGAGAGGCCACGUCACACCGGUGAGGAUGCUUACGGUCAGGAAAACCAGGAUGUCGGUGUUGGUGAGGAUGCAGAGAAACGAGGCCUCACGCACCGCUGGUGGGAAUGGAGAGUGAGGCAGCCAGUUUGGAAAACGAUGUAAUAGUUCCUCAAAAGUCGGAACCUAGAAUUAACCCAUGACCUGGCAAUUGCAUUCCUGGCUGUCUACCCAAUAUAAGUGAAAAUAUAUGUCCACACACAAAUUUGUAUAUGGAUGUUCAUAGCGCAAUUCACAAUGGCCAAAAAAAAAAAAAAAAGGAAAAGCGUCCCAAACAGUCACAAGCAGUCGAAUGGGUGGAUGGGGUACAGGUCACCCAAGCAACGGGACACUAGCCUCUCAGAGGAACGAGAUUCUGACCCUCGCUACCGGAUGGAUGAACCUGAAAAACGUGAGCUCCCUGGGCAAAGCCAGACACAAAAAGCCCUACAUUGUGUGACCCCAUUUACGUGAAAUGUCUCGAAUAGGCAAACCCGUAGUGACAGAAAGCAGAUUGGUGUUUGUCUAGGGCUGGGGGAAUCAGGCGUGGGAGGCCCCGGAAAUGAUGGCUAAAGGUUCUGUGAUUUCUUCUGGGAGGUGAUAAAAUGUUCUAAAAUGGAUCAUGCUUCGUUCGCACCGCAUGCCGGCAUCAAAACCUCCGAUGUGCCCCCUAAAUGUAAUACCUGCUGUGUAUCUGCAAAAAUUAAAAAGGAGAUAAAAUCGAUGGUGAUAAUGGUUACACAAUCCCAGUACAUUUAGUGGGUGUGCUAAAAUCAUUGAGCUGUACAUUUUAAAAUGGUGACUCUCAUGUGAAUUAUGUCUAAGAAACAAAAUUAUGAAAAAAUUAAUAAAGAGCAAACAAGGAAAGAAAAAAAAUGCCAAAGAAACUACGAAAUUCAGAGACUGCCCAGAAACCUAAAGAGAGGCAGCCAGUGCCAGGGCAGUUAACACUCUGCACAGAGCUUCCUGGCAGGCAAAGCAAAGAUGGAAACACCCACACUAUGGCGGGCUGUGGGGUCCCAUUUGUUGACGAUUCACUCCACUGAGUGUGUCCAGGUGUUUGUCAGGUGUCAACUCGGCUAAUCCCAACAAGGUCCAGGCAGGAGGAGGGCUACGUAGAUGGGGAAACUGAGGCAGGCCCAAGGUCACCAGUUGAUACAUGGCAGAAGCCAGACCAGCGCCUCAGUGAUUGGGAUUGGAGCCUUUGCUCCCAGCCCUGUGACGUCUCCCCACCCCACCCACCUGCCUGCUUCAGGGUCUUAUUCCCUUGGAGGUAGAUGUCACCCCCCAG